This 497-nucleotide ribosomal RNA is filed under the name uncultured bacterium. RNAcentral describes it as "partial 16S ribosomal RNA". It matches the Rfam family "Bacterial small subunit ribosomal RNA", at positions 28 to 507 of the family's 1533-position model. The record is from RNAcentral.
GAUGAACGCUGGCGGCGUGCCUAAUACAUGCAAGUCGAGCGAACGGACGAGAAGCUUGCUUUUCUGAUGUUAGCGGCGGACGGGUGAGUAACACGUGGAUAACCUACCUAUAAGACUGGGAUAACUUCGGGAAACCGGAGCUAAUACCGGAUAAUAUUUUGAACCACAUGGUUCAAAAGUGAAAGACGGUCUUGCUGUCACUUAUAGAUGGAUCCGCGCUGCAUUAGCUAGUUGGUAAGGUAACGGCUUACCAAGGCAACGAUGCAUAGCCGACCUGAGAGGGUGAUCGGCCACACUGGAACUGAGACACGGUCCAGACUCCUGCGGGAGGCAGCAGUAGGGAAUCUUCCGCAAUGGGCGAAAGCCUGACGGAGCAACGCCGCGUGAGUGAUGAAGGUCUUCGGAUCGUAAAACUCUGUUAUUAGGGAAGAACAUAUGUGUAAGUAACUGUGCACAUCUUGACGGUACCUAAUCAGAAAGCCACGGCUAACUACGUG